UUUAUUAAUUUUUAUUAACCAACUAAGUGCAUUAUUGCCAAAAGUGACUGUUUAUUAGAAAUUACAUAUUUUCUGUAAUGGCCCUGUUUUUCUGUAAUGGCCCUGUUUUUUCUGUAAUGGCCCUGUUUUUCUGUAAUGGCCCUGUUUUUUCUGUAAUGGCCCUGUUUCUCUGUAAUGGCCCUGUAUUAAUGCCCAGUUUGUCUGUAUUAAGCCCUGUUAGGGUUUUUAAUAAAGUUAAUAAAACUAAGUUGUAAAGAGUUAAAUACCUUUUUGUAUUUUAUUUAAUUUAGUAACCAGCAACCAACAUUAAAGAACCAUAUAUUAAAGGGAUCACUGUUCAUCCUGUUUUUAACACAUAUCUCUUUCAACUUAAUAUCUUGGAUAUUUGGUAUAUUUAAAGCUUUAUAAUGGUGAAGUACAAAUUAUUUUGUUCAAACUAAACUGUCAUUAAAAGAGUAAGACAGUACAUCAAGUUAGCAGCAACAUAUACACUUUUGUUCAGUUGGUUAAUAAAUGUAUUAAGAAAUGGGUGUUUUUAUAAUGGCCCUGUUAUAUGUCCUCGGUCAGUAAUAAUGGCCUCGGAUGUCUGUAAUAGCCCUCGGCGUUGCCUCGGGCCAUUACAGACUUCCUCGACCAUUAUUACAGACUUUGGACAUAUAACAGGGCCAUUAUAAAAACACCCAUUCAUUAAUACUAU
Molecule: long non-coding RNA, 697 nt
Filed under: Mytilus galloprovincialis (Mediterranean mussel)
Lineage: Eukaryota; Metazoa; Mollusca; Bivalvia; Mytilida; Mytilidae
Source: RNAcentral